RNAcentral lists this unclassified non-coding RNA (677 nucleotides) under Hevea brasiliensis (rubber tree). The record is from RNAcentral. Lineage: Eukaryota; Viridiplantae; Streptophyta; Magnoliopsida; Malpighiales; Euphorbiaceae.
GCAGUAUUAAACAAAGAAAAAAGCUCUUAUUAACGUCAUAGUCACAACAAAGAAGUUAAAAAAAAAAAUACAUAUUAAUAAAAUUAUUGUUUAUUUUAGAUUGAAUUGUAAAAAAAAAAAUAAUAAUAAUCUAAUUAGAAGAUGCAAGGAGGAGGCCGAUUGCAGAAACCAGGGAAACGCGCUUGGUUUAAACGUGGCGCUAUCGUGUUGGUUGCCGCUUGGUUAUUUUCGUCUUUUUGUUGCCGAUUUUCAAGAUAAAUAAGGGCAAGCUCGAUAUCCAUUCCUAUAUUCAGAAAUGCAGAUAUAAGAUUAGUCUCUGUAAAUUUCGAUCAAGUUUCUCCCGCUCUCUCCCAAAAGGCAUCUUCAAUUUCUUCUUCCUUUCUAUUUGAUUAGGCUUCUUUUUGAAAAUUUUAAGCCCUCAUAGAUUGUUUAAUUGCGAUUCCAUUUUUAUUUUAUUAACCUAGAUUCUCAGAAAGUAGUAGAUUUAGGGUUUUGGCGUAUUUGCCUGAAUAAUAAUAUUUUCUAUUGACCUUUCCAUGAAAUAGGUUUAAUCCUUUGAUAAACUUUGUUUACUGGAUUUGCAUUGAUCGUUUGAUUUGAAAUCUCAAUGAAUUGUUCUGUUUGUUGUUUUGUAUAAUCACUGGAGUCUGAACGAAUCUCAUUAGUCAUUAGUACCU